UGAAUACGAGACGCUAAGGCGUCGAAGUAGUGUAUGUCAUACUUCCAAGAAAAGCUUGCACUGUCAUAGAUAAAAAACGCCUGUACCAUAACCGACACAGGUGGGUAGGUAGAGUAUACUAAGGGGCGCGAGAUAUCUCUCUCUAAGGAACUCGGCAAAAUAACUCCGUAACUUCGGGAGAAGGAGUGCCUUAUUCUUAAGGUUGCAAUAACAAGAUCCAAGCAACUGUUUAUCAAAAACACAGGUCUCCGCUAAGUCGUAAGACGAUGUAUGGGGGCUGACGCCUGCCCAGUGCCAGAAGGUUAAAGAAGCUGGUUAGCAUUUGCGAAGCUAGUAACUGAAGCCCUGGUGAACGGCGGCCGUAACAAUAACGGUCCUAAGGUAGCGAAAUUCCUUGUCGGGUAUGUUCCGACCCGCACGAAAGGCGUAAUGAUUUGGAUACUGUCUCGGAGAGGGGCUCGGUGAAAUAGACUUGUCUGUGAAGAUGCGGACUACCUGCACCAGGACAGAAAGACCCUAUGAAGCUUUACUGUAACUUGAAAUUGAAAUUGGACUUUAUUCGCGCAGUAUAGGUGGGAGGCGUUGAUUAUAAUCUUGCGGGAUUAUUGGAGCCAUUAGUGAGAUACCACUCUUGUAAUGUUAGAUUUCUAACUUUGAAUCAUUAUCUGGUCAAAGAACAGUUUCAGGCGGGCAGCUUGACUGGGGCGGUCGCCUCCCAAACGGUAACGGAGGCGUACAAAGGUCUCCUCUGAACGGUUAGAAAUCGUAUCUAGAGUGUAAAGGCAUAAGGAAGCUUGACUGUGAGACCUACAAGUCGAGCAGGGACGAAAGUCGGUCUUAGUGAUCUGACGGUACUGAGUGGAAAGGCCGUCACUCAACGGAUAAAAGUUACUCUAGGGAUAACAGGCUGAUCUCCCCCAAGAGUUCACAUCGACGGGGAGGUUUGGCACCUCGAUGUCGGCUCAUCGCAUCCUGGGGCGGUAGUACGUCCCAAGGGUUGGGCUGUUCGCCCAUGAAAGCGGUACGCGAGCUGGGUUCAAACGUCGUGAGACAGUUCGGUCCAUAUCCGGUGUAGGCGUUAGAAUAUUGAGAGGAGCCUUCUUUAGUACGAGAGGACCGAGAAGGACAUACCUCUGGUGUACCAGUUAUCGUGCCAACGGUAGACGCUGGGUAGCUAUGUAUGGAGUGGAUAACCGCUGAAAGCAUCUAAGUGGGAAGCCCACCUCAAGAUGAGUGCUCUCACUACGUUAAGUAGGUAAGGUCACGGAAAGAACAUCCGUUAAUAGGCGUUAGGUGGAAGUGCAGCAAUGUAUGCAGCC
Molecule: ribosomal RNA, 1319 nt
Filed under: metagenome
Description: bacterial LSU rRNA
Rfam family: Bacterial large subunit ribosomal RNA
Source: RNAcentral